GGGAUGAGUCCCGCCGUAACAAUGAAGACUUUAGAGUUUUUGAAUAGGCUCAGAACGAACGCUGGCGGCAGGCUUAACACAUGCAAGUCGAGCGCGUGGCAACACGAGCGGCAGACGGGUGAGUAACGCGUGGGAAUCUACCCUUUUCUACGGAAUAACGCAGGGAAACUUGUGCUAAUACCGUAUACGCCCUUCGGGGGAAAGAUUUAUCGGAGAAGGAUGAGCCCGCGUUGGAUUAGCUAGUUGGUGGGGUAAAGGCCUACCAAGGCGACGAUCCAUAGCUGGUCUGAGAGGAUGAUCAGCCACAUUGGGACUGAGACACGGCCCAAACUCCUACGGGAGGCAGCAGUGGGGAAUAUUGGACAAUGGGCGCAAGCCUGAUCCAGCCAUGCCGCGUGAGUGAUGAAGGCCCUAGGGUUGUAAAGCUCUUUCACCGGUGAAGAUAAUGACGGUAACCGGAGAAGAAGCCCCGGCUAACUUCGUGCCAGCAGCCGCGGUAAUACGAAGGGGGCUAGCGUUGUUCGGAAUUACUGGGCGUAAAGCGCACGUAGGCGGACAUUUAAGUCAGGGGUGAAAUCCCGGGGCUCAACCCCGGAACUGCCUUUGAUACUGGGUGUCUAGAGUCCGGAAGAGGUGAGUGGAAUUCCGAGUGUAGAGGUGAAAUUCGUAGAUAUUCGGAGGAACACCAGUGGCGAAGGCGGCUCACUGGUCCGGAACUGACGCUGAUGUCGAAAAAAGCCC
This 741-nucleotide ribosomal RNA is filed under the name Sinorhizobium sp. MRR 101. Its description in RNAcentral is "bacterial SSU rRNA". It matches the Rfam family "Bacterial small subunit ribosomal RNA", at positions 1 to 762 of the family's 1533-position model. Lineage: Bacteria; Pseudomonadati; Pseudomonadota; Alphaproteobacteria; Hyphomicrobiales; Rhizobiaceae. The record is from RNAcentral.